GAUGAACGCUAGCUACAGGCUUAACACAUGCAAGUCGAGGGGCAGCAUGAACUUAGCUUGCUAAGUUUGAUGGCGACCGGCGCACGGGUGAGUAACACGUAUCCAACCUGCCGAUGACUCGGGGAUAGCCUUUCGAAAGAAAGAUUAAUACCCGAUGGCAUAGUUCUUCCGCAUGGUAGAACUAUUAAAGAAUUUCGGUCAUCGAUGGGGAUGCGUUCCAUUAGGUUGUUGGCGGGGUAACGGCCCACCAAGCCUUCGAUGGGUAGGGGUUCUGAGAGGAAGGUCCCCCACAUUGGAACUGAGACACGGUCCAAACUCCUACGGGAGGCAGCAGUGAGGAAUAUUGGUCAAUGGACGAGAGUCUGAACCAGCCAAGUAGCGUGAAGGAUGACUGCCCUAUGGGUUGUAAACUUCUUUUAUACGGGAAUAAAGUGAGGCACGUGUGCCUUUUUGUAUGUACCGUAUGAAUAAGAAUCGGCUAACUCCGUG
Molecule: ribosomal RNA, 489 nt
Filed under: uncultured bacterium
Lineage: Bacteria
Description: partial 16S ribosomal RNA
Rfam family: Bacterial small subunit ribosomal RNA
Source: RNAcentral